RNAcentral lists this ribosomal RNA (796 nucleotides) under Microbacterium paraoxydans. RNAcentral describes it as "bacterial SSU rRNA". It matches the Rfam family "Bacterial small subunit ribosomal RNA", at positions 42 to 844 of the family's 1533-position model. Lineage: Bacteria; Bacillati; Actinomycetota; Actinomycetes; Micrococcales; Microbacteriaceae. The record is from RNAcentral.
GCGUGCUUAACACAUGCCAAGUGCGAACGGUGAAGCAGGAGCUUGCCUUGGUGGAUCAGUGGCGAACGGGUGAGUAACACGUGAGCAACCUGCCCCCUGACUCUGGGAUAAGCGCUGGAAACGGCGUCUAAUACUGGAUAUGUGACGUGACCGCAUGGUCUGCGUUUGGAAAGAUUUUUCGGUUGGGGAUGGGCUCGCGGCCUAUCAGCUUGUUGGUGAGGUAAUGGCUCACCAAGGCGUCGACUGGGUAGCCGGCCUGAGAGGGUGACCGGUCCACACUGGGACUGAGACACGGCCCAGACUUCCGUACGGGAGGCAGCAGUGGGGAAUAUUGCACAAUGGGCGAAAGCCUGAUGCAGCAACGCCGCGUGAGGGAUGACGGCCUUCGGGUUGUAAACCUCUUUUAGCAGGGAAGAAGCGAAAGUGACGGUACCUGUCAGAAAAAGCGCCGGCUAACUACGUGACCAGCAGCCGCGGUAAUACGUAGGGCGCAAGCGUUAUCCGGAAUUAUUGGGCGUAAAGAGCUCGUAGGCGGUUUGUCGCGUCUGCUGUGAAAUCCCGAAGGCUCAACUCGGGCCUGCAGUGGGUACGGGCAGGACUAGAGUGCGGUAGGGGAGAUUGGAAUUCCUGGUGUAGCGGUGGAAUGCGCAGAUAUCAGGAGGAACACCGAUGGCGAAGGCAGAUCUCUGGGCCGUAACUGACGCUGCAGGAGCGAAAGGGUGGGGAGCAAACAGGCUUAGAUACCCUGGUAGUCCACCCCGUAAACGUUGGGAACUAGUUGUGGGGUCCAUUCCAC